This 310-nucleotide ribosomal RNA is filed under the name uncultured Clostridiaceae bacterium. RNAcentral describes it as "partial 16S ribosomal RNA". Lineage: Bacteria; Bacillati; Bacillota; Clostridia; Eubacteriales; Clostridiaceae. The record is from RNAcentral.
GGAGUCUGGGCCGUGUCUCAGUCCCAAUGUGGCCGUUCAACCUCUCAGUCCGGCUACUGAUCGUCGACUUGGUGGGCCGUUACCCCGCCAACUAUCUAAUCAGACGCGAGUCCAUCUUUCAGCGGAUUGCUCCUUUGAUAUCAGUAUCAUGCGGUACCGAUAUGUUAUGCGGUAUUAGCGUUCGUUUCCAAACGUUAUCCCCCUCUGAAAGGCAGGUUACUCACGCGUUACUCACCCGUCCGCCACUAACUUUCAUCCCCGAAGGGAAUCAGUCCGUUCGACUUGCAUGUGUUAGGCACGCCGCCAGCGU